CCUACGGGGGGCUGCAGUGGGGAAUAUUGGACAAUGGGGGGAACCCUGAUCCAGCCAUGCCGCGUGUGUGAAGAAGGCCCUCGGGUUGUAAAGCACUUUCAGUGAGGAAGAACGCCUGGUGGUUAAUACCCAUCAGGAAAGACAUCACUCACAGAAGAAGCACCGGCUAACUCCGUGCCAGCAGCCGCGGUAAUACGGAGGGUGCGAGCGUUAAUCGGAAUUACUGGGCGUAAAGCGCGCGUAGGUGGCUUGAUAAGCCGGUUGUGAAAGCCCCGGGCUCAACCUGGGAACGGCAUCCGGAACUGGCUAGAUAGAGGUAGGGAGAGGAAGGUGGAGUUCACGGUGUAGCGGUGAAAUGCGUAGAGAUCGGGAGGAAUACCAGGGGCGAAGGCGGCGUGCUGGCGUGACAAUGACGCUGAGGUGCGAAAGUGUGGGUAGCAAACAGGAUGAGAUACCCGAGUAGGC
This 465-nucleotide ribosomal RNA is filed under the name Vreelandella stevensii. Its description in RNAcentral is "partial 16S ribosomal RNA". It matches the Rfam family "Bacterial small subunit ribosomal RNA", at positions 338 to 795 of the family's 1533-position model. Lineage: Bacteria; Pseudomonadati; Pseudomonadota; Gammaproteobacteria; Oceanospirillales; Halomonadaceae. The record is from RNAcentral.